This 443-nucleotide ribosomal RNA is filed under the name uncultured bacterium. RNAcentral's name for it is "partial 16S ribosomal RNA". It matches the Rfam family "Bacterial small subunit ribosomal RNA", at positions 338 to 795 of the family's 1533-position model. The record is from RNAcentral.
CCUACGGGAGGCAGCAGUGGGGAAUAUUGGGCAAUGGGCGCAAGCCUGACCCAGCAACGCCGCGUGAAGGAAGAAGGCUUUCGGGUUGUAAACUUCUUUUAUCAGGGACGAAGCAAGUGACGGUACCGGAUGAAUAAGCAACGGCUAACUACGUGCCAGCAGCCGCGGUAAUACGUAGGUGGCAAGCGUUAACCGGAUUUACUGGGUGUAAAGGGCGUGGAGGCGGGAGUGCAAGUCAGAUGUGAAAACUAUGGGCUCAACCCAUAGCCUGCAUGUGAAACUGUACUUCUUGAGUGCUGGAUAGGCUAUCGGAAUUCCGUGUGUAGCGGUGAAAUGCGUAGAUAUACGGAGGAACACCAGUGGCGAAGGCGGAUUGCUGGACAGUAACUGACGCUGAGGCGCGAAAGCGUGGGUAGCAAACAGGAUUAGAUACCCCAGUAGUC